AGAGUUUGAUCAUGGCUCAGAUUGAACGCUGGCGGCAGGCCUAACACAUGCAAGUCGAACGGUAACAGGAAGAAGCUUGCUUCUUUGCUGACGAGUGGCGGACGGGUGAGUAAUGUCUGGGAAACUGCCUGAUGGAGGGGGAUAACUACUGGAAACGGUAGCUAAUACCGCAUAACGUCGCAAGACCAAAGAGGGGGACCUUCGGGCCUCUUGCCAUCGGAUGUGCCCAGAUGGGAUUAGCUUGUUGGUGGGGUAACGGCUCACCAAGGCGACGAUCCCUAGCUGGUCUGAGAGGAUGACCAGCCACACUGGAACUGAGACACGGUCCAGACUCCUACGGGAGGCAGCAGUGGGGAAUAUUGCACAAUGGGCGCAAGCCUGAUGCAGCCAUGCCGCGUGUAUGAAGAAGGCCUUCGGGUUGUAAAGUACUUUCAGCGGGGAGGAAGGGAGUAAAGUUAAUACCUUUGCUCAUUGACGUUACCCGCAGAAGAAGCACCGGCUAACUCCGUGCCAGCAGCCGCGGUAAUACGGAGGGUGCAAGCGUUAAUCGGAAUUACUGGGCGUAAAGCGCACGCAGGCGGUUUGUUAAGUCAGAUGUGAAAUCCCCGGGCUCAACCUGGGAACUGCAUCUGAUACUGGCAAGCUUGAGUCUCGUAGAGGGGGGUAGAAUUCCAGGUGUAGCGGUGAAAUGCGUAGAGAUCUGGAGGAAUACCGGUGGCGAAGGCGGCCCCCUGGACGAAGACUGACGCUCAAGUGCGAAAGCGUGGGGAGCAAACAGGAUUAGAUACCCUGGUAGUCCACGCCGUAAACGAUGUCGACUUGGAGGUUGUGCCCUUGAGGCGUGGCUUCCGGAGCUAACGCGUUAAGUCGACCGCCUGGGGAGUACGGCCGCAAGGUUAAAACUCAAAUGAAUUGACGGGGGCCCGCACAAGCGGUGGAGCAUGUGGUUUAAUUCGAUGCAACGCGAAGAACCUUACCUGGUCUUGACAUCCACAGAACUUUCCAGAGAUGGAUUGGUGCCUUCGGGAACUGUGAGACAGGUGCUGCAUGGCUGUCGUCAGCUCGUGUUGUGAAAUGUUGGGUUAAGUCCCGCAACGAGCGCAACCCUUAUCCUUUGUUGCCAGCGGUCCGGCCGGGAACUCAAAGGAGACUGCCAGUGAUAAACUGGAGGAAGGUGGGGAUGACGUCAAGUCAUCAUGGCCCUUACGACCAGGGCUACACACGUGCUACAAUGGCGCAUACAAAGAGAAGCGACCUCGCGAGAGCAAGCGGACCUCAUAAAGUGCGUCGUAGUCCGGAUUGGAGUCUGCAACUCGACUCCAUGAAGUCGGAAUCGCUAGUAAUCGUGGAUCAGAAUGCCACGGUGAAUACGUUCCCGGGCCUUGUACACACCGCCCGUCACACCAUGGGAGUGGGUUGCAAAAGAAGUAGGUAGCUUAACCUUCGGGAGGGCGCUUACCACUUUGUGAUUCAUGACUGGGGUGAAGUCGUAACAAGGUAACCGUAGGGGAACCUGCGGUUGGAUCACCU
Molecule: ribosomal RNA, 1530 nt
Filed under: Escherichia coli
Lineage: Bacteria; Pseudomonadati; Pseudomonadota; Gammaproteobacteria; Enterobacterales; Enterobacteriaceae
Description: bacterial SSU rRNA
Rfam family: Bacterial small subunit ribosomal RNA
Source: RNAcentral